Long non-coding RNA from Megalobrama amblycephala (Wuchang bream), 744 nucleotides. RefSeq lists it as uncharacterized. The transcript has 2 exons. Lineage: Eukaryota; Metazoa; Chordata; Actinopteri; Cypriniformes; Xenocyprididae. The record is from RefSeq and is a predicted model, not a curated record.
GAUCUCAGCUUCCCUACGAGAUCUCCAACCGGGGUUGAAGGCUGGAAACACACCUGUACCACCACUGCUUUCAUCACUUCGGUUUGAAUUAACCCGCUCGUCAAUCAUUACAAGUCGGAAAAGGCGAGGAAUAUUCAAUUUGACGUCCUAUUUGAAUUAAUGAUGGUUUGAAGCCUAAAGAUAAUUUCUCCAUAUCUCCGGGAGCUUUAUCGAGUUUGACACGAGCCGAGCGUAAAGGUAGCAGGCGCGCGCGCGUACUGACACUAGCGCUUAACCGCUCUGACAGGAAAGCGUUUAAAAUGAGAUUGGGCGGGAAGCAGGAGCUGUGAGGAGACGAAGAAGAUUGGAGAGAUUUAUCCCAACUAUUCUAAGGUUUGCUUUCGAAAACAUGAAUUAGAAAAAAAAACAAAAAAACAACAACAACAACUAUGAAGCAUAAGUUUUACAAUGAGAAAACAAUGAGUUUAGUCAAAUACUAUUUUUGUUUGUUUUUCCACGGCAGCACCAUGAUGUUAUCUGACCCAAUAUGUGUCUGUCAGCCAGGAUUCAAAACAUUGUGGACCCUUACACAGGUGUAAGGAGACGUGGCUUUGCAUUGUCUGAGUUAGCUAAAACCAAAGCACCCUCAUGCAGUCUGGGUCAUGUGACAUAACAUCACAGAUGCGCUCCACUCAGUCAACAGUACACAGUGGGACGUGGGAUGUAAACAUGGAAUUUCUUGGCAAUAAAAGGGAAACAAAUAAA